Molecule: long non-coding RNA, 911 nt
Organism: Mytilus californianus (California mussel)
Lineage: Eukaryota; Metazoa; Mollusca; Bivalvia; Mytilida; Mytilidae
Exons: 3
Source: RefSeq, a predicted model, not a curated record
AAUUUGCACGAUUAGUUACAGAUGUCGACUCGGACUACUGCAAAAGACAAUAAUUCAGUUCACUGAUUUAGAUUGAAUAGUGGUUCGGUUAAUCCCCUCUUCCCCAAACAAGGCAAGGACAUUAAAGAUAAAGGGAAACUAUAAACAAAAGAAAUUAUCAACAAAAAUAGAUUUACAGACGUCAACAAAGCCUAAAUGGUCAGACAUCUUGGUUUUCAUGAUCAUCAUUCAACAAGUCAAUACUGAACAGAAAACUUAAAGUUGAUAUUUUUCUACAUAGUGUGACUUUUUUAUUAAUUUGAAAUGGAAUGUGUUUUUUUCCUACAUAAGAAAGAGGAAAUUUCAUCAUAAUGACUAUAAACAAAAAGGCGUCAUAUCAUCAUGAUCAUAGAUGCACAAGAACUUAAUCAUGUAAAUGCAAUAACGUAAUUAUCAAUUGAAAGAAGGGAGGAAUGAAAAAAUAUAUUAGUAUUUUGUUGUCCAAAUGAACUUGCUUUGUCCACUCAUUUAAAUCGCUCCAUCCAAUAAAGACGUACGGUGGAAGAUUUUUGAAGAACAGAUUGCAAAAGAGGUUUUGUCUUAGAAUUGUAGGAAUAUUCUAGUGGAUGAAAUAAUUUAUUUACUUGACUCUUAUAUAGUGGACUGAAUAAUUGUACAUAGCAAGCUGAAACAAGAAAAACUAAAACUUAACAGGAAAAGUGUUUAUUUUAUAAAUUUGCAAAUAUAAACGUAAUAUUAUGAACACCACAAAGGUAUAAGAUUCAAAUCGUUUGCAUAUUCAUGUAUUGCAAUGGAACUAAAACAAAGAAAACUUUAACUCAUGAAAAGAGUAAACUAUUAACUGUGCUUUGUCAAUUUAUUCAGUCAGAAUAUGAAAUAUUUUUUUUCAGUUCUAUUUUUCAUAAUAAAAC